Molecule: long non-coding RNA, 363 nt
Organism: Cylas formicarius (sweet potato weevil)
Lineage: Eukaryota; Metazoa; Arthropoda; Insecta; Coleoptera; Brentidae
Exons: 3
Source: RefSeq, a predicted model, not a curated record
UUUCCAAUAACUGACCAAGGUGUAUUUUGCGUGCUAAUAAAAUUCUAACCGACGGCGCAGCUUUUAAAUGCGACUCGCGAUAUUGCUAGGUACCGGGACGCGAUUCGAAUAAUUGAACCUGCGGGUUUUUAGGGAAACUUUACAAGUGCGAGAGAUGCCUCAAAACGUACAAAUACAACAGCGGCCUGUGGACGCACCAGAAAUACAAUUGCCAAACAAACACUGCCUAACGUAUCAUUUAAAAAUGAAACAUAACAUAUCGUUAUAAGGAGACGGCCGCUGGCUUGUUCAUGUGCCUCAAGUGUGGCAGAACGUACAAGAGGAAGUCGGGCGUCAGGCAACAUAUUAGAUCGAGUACAGUGU